This is an unclassified non-coding RNA of Homo sapiens (human), 109 nucleotides long. It matches the Rfam family "Y RNA". From Rfam's summary of the family: Y RNAs are components of the Ro ribonucleoprotein particle (Ro RNP), in association with Ro60 and La proteins. Lineage: Eukaryota; Metazoa; Chordata; Mammalia; Primates; Hominidae. The record is from Ensembl.
GGCUGGUCUGAAGGUAAGUGAGUUACCUCAAUUGAUUGUCCAGUCAGUUACAGAUCGAACUUGUUCUACUCUUUCCCUCCUUCUCACUACUGCACUUGACUAGUCUUAA